AUCAGAAGUAGUCAAAUGAUCAUAUCAUCGUGUGGUGUUAUUGAGAGUAGCAAAGAACAUGAAUUUAGUUGUAAAUUCGAUGAUGCUCAGUAGAAGAAAAUUCUUCAAAUAUUGAAGGAGUUCUUUCGUAUCUUUGAAAAUGUGUCUUCAGUGUGGCAAUAAUUCUUUGAGAAAGAAAAAGGAAAAAAAAAGAAGGUGCAAAGAGUUGUACUUAGGCUAGUGAGUCCAAACUGACAAAAGAGUCUAAGAUUAACCUAGUCAGGCAG
This 266-nucleotide long non-coding RNA is filed under the name Elaeis guineensis (African oil palm). Its description in RNAcentral is "long non-coding RNA (EGUI_LNC069999)". Lineage: Eukaryota; Viridiplantae; Streptophyta; Magnoliopsida; Arecales; Arecaceae. The record is from RNAcentral.